This is a long non-coding RNA of Scylla paramamosain (green mud crab), 1088 nucleotides long. RefSeq lists it as uncharacterized. The transcript is spliced from 2 exons. The record is from RefSeq and is a predicted model, not a curated record. Lineage: Eukaryota; Metazoa; Arthropoda; Malacostraca; Decapoda; Portunidae.
CAGAUGAUGAAAGAAUGACAGUGUACAGUAAGAGGUGACAGAGCUAGUGAAAAAGGGCGAAUGAAAUGCAAAUUAUAUUAAUAGAAGUAACAAGUACAAUAGUAGCAAAAACACAUGAACACCAGAAUAACCUCACCUUUCAACCCUCUCGAGGUAGCAAGGCAGAUUUGGAUAGGAUGAACCAAAGGACAGAUAGAUGGCAAAUACAGUGUAAUGUUAACAAAUGGCGUAUAUAUAAGAAACCCACACAGUAUCUACGCAAUAAAGAACGAAACUCUUGUAAAUUCAGAGAAAGAUAAAGAUUUUAGUUAGGUAUAGUUAGCUAUGAUCUGUGCCUAAGAAAACAAUGCAUAGAGACUAAAAAUUAAGCUAAACGGUUAUUAGAAUUAAUCUUUUAAUGGUAUAUACAACAACAAUUUCAACUUUAAUUUAUUACUUUGCAUAUUUAAAGACACCAAACUAAUUACAUGGAAGCCAAUACAGAAGCAGAUUGUGAGAAAGGGAUCGAAGCUGAAACGUCUUAAUUGCUGUCUCACCACUUUUAUUUCAAAUGCCACAGAGAUGAUUAUCCGGGUUCUCCAAUGCGUUUCUUCUAUUAAUAAUAUAGAAAUCGUGUUGAUCUGUCAGUAGAACCAUAAAAACAUUUAUAAAAACCUUUGCAACUUUAUUCAGAGUCAUCAGUUUAGAGGUGCGGCUAAGUGUUUCAGAAUACGGUUCGUUGUCUAGUCUCCUUCCAGCCUGUCAUACACACUUGGUCCAUUUCACCACUAGCAGCGACGGAGAGAAUUCGAGGUGCAGAGGUCUCGUGGCGAGACUCUGAAUGAGGCUGUGAAGGAGUGAAGGUGUGAACUGUGCGGUUUCCACUUCAUCCUAUGAACAGCCCACAAGAAUCUCUCUCUACCAACACCUACUACUGGCAUCGGGUUAUCAAAUAGUGUUACCAUAUCAGGCCUGACAUUCUCGGAGACAUAGCAAUCAGGGAGUCAAGUUUUAUCAGGAAGAGAGGCUGAGUGUCACCACCUUCAAGCCUGAGAAGAGGUGUAAAGAAGUAUCAGGACAAUAUCAUCAGUACAAAGGACAAAGAAAAG